This 1475-nucleotide ribosomal RNA is filed under the name Salmonella enterica. Its description in RNAcentral is "partial 23S ribosomal RNA". It matches the Rfam family "Bacterial large subunit ribosomal RNA", at positions 711 to 2166 of the family's 2925-position model. The record is from RNAcentral. Lineage: Bacteria; Pseudomonadati; Pseudomonadota; Gammaproteobacteria; Enterobacterales; Enterobacteriaceae.
AGACCCGAAACCCGGUGAUCUAGCCAUGGGCAGGUUGAAGGUUGGGUAACACUAACUGGAGGACCGAACCGACUAAUGUUGAAAAAUUAGCGGAUGACCUGUGGCUGGGGGUGAAAGGCCAAUCAAACCGGGAGAUAGCUGGUUCUCCCCGAAAGCUAUUUAGGUAGCGCCUCGUGAAUUCAUCUCCGGGGGUAGAGCACUGUUUCGGCCAGGGGGCCAUCCCGGCUUACCAAUCCGAUGCAAACUGCGAAUACCGGAGAAUGUUAUCACGGGAGACACACGGCGGGUGCUAACGUCCGUCGUGAAGAGGGAAACAACCCAGACCGCCAGCUAAGGUCCCAAAGUCAUGGUUAAGUGGGAAACGAUGUGGGAAGGCCCAGACAGCCAGGAUGUUGGCUUAGAAGCAGCCAUCAUUUAAAGAAAGCGUAAUAGCUCACUGGUCGAGUCGGCCUGCGCGGAAGAUGUAACGGGGCUAAACCAUGCACCGAAGCUGCGGCAGCGACACUGAUGUGUUGUUGGGUAGGGGAGCGUUCUGUAAGCCGUUGAAGGUGUGUCGUGAGGCAUGCUGGAGGUAUCAGAAGUGCGAAUGCUGACAUAAGUAACGAUAAAGCGGGUGAAAAGCCCGCUCGCCGGAAGACCAAGGGUUCCUGUCCAACGUUAAUCGGGGCAGGGUGAGUCGACCCCUAAGGCGAGGCCGAAAGGCGUAGUCGAUGGGAAACGGGUUAAUAUUCCCGUACUUGGUGUUACUGCGAAGGGGGGACGGAGAAGGCUAUGUUGGCCGGGCGACGGUUGUCCCGGUUUAAGCGUGUAGGUGUGUGUUCCAGGUAAAUCCGGUUCACUUUAACACUGAGGCGUGACGACGAGGCACUACGGUGCUGAAGCAACAAAUGCCCUGCUUCCAGGAAAAGCCUCUAAGCCUCAGGUAACAUCAAAUCGUACCCCAAACCGACACAGGUGGUCAGGUAGAGAAUACCAAGGCGCUUGAGAGAACUCGGGUGAAGGAACUAGGCAAAAUGGUGCCGUAACUUCGGGAGAAGGCACGCUGACACGUAGGUGAAGUGGUUUACCCAUGGAGCUGAAGUCAGUCGAAGAUACCAGCUGGCUGCAACUGUUUAUUAAAAACACAGCACUGUGCAAACACGAAAGUGGACGUAUACGGUGUGACGCCUGCCCGGUGCCGGAAGGUUAAUUGAUGGGGUCAGCGCAAGCGAAGCUCCUGAUCGAAGCCCCGGUAAACGGCGGCCGUAACUAUAACGGUCCUAAGGUAGCGAAAUUCCUUGUCGGGUAAGUUCCGACCUGCACGAAUGGCGUAAUGAUGGCCAGGCUGUCUCCACCCGGGACUCAGUGAAAUUGAACUCGCUGUGAAGAUGCAGUGUACCCGCGGCAAGACGGAAAGACCCCGUGAACCUUUACUAUAGCUUGACACUGAACACUGGUCCUUGAUGUGCAGGAUAGGUGGGAGGCUUUGAAGUGUG